Molecule: long non-coding RNA, 4149 nt
Organism: Alligator mississippiensis (American alligator)
Lineage: Eukaryota; Metazoa; Chordata; Crocodylia; Alligatoridae
Exons: 2
Source: RefSeq, a predicted model, not a curated record
GCCCCGCGGCCCGCGAGGGCGGCCGGGCGCCGAGUGCGGGGCAGCCCGUGGGCGAAUGACGCUGAGGAGGGCGCGCGGCGCUGCGAGCAAAGAAAGGCCUCUGCCGCUUCCCAGCGCUGCGGGCUGCAGGGAGGCCGUUCCCGCGGAGCAACCCGCAUCCUCUUGUCCUCCCCCAGCGGGUCUGCGAGCCCAGCCGGCAGCCUCGGGGAAGUCGCAUCAAGACUUUGUGUGUGAUGACAGCCCUCGGUUUUCUAGGCUGGGCAUCGGAAAGGAACUCUCCCCCCUCGGCUGGGACCAGGCGUGCGCACAGGAGGGAUCCUCCUGGCCAGGGGUCGCCAACCUUGUUAUGGUGAAGAUCACUUUUUGGGACUAAAGGUCACUCCAGCAUCUACUGCACCCUGCCCCGGGCCACGCGCCCCUGGACCAUGGGGUGUCCCAGGCCUGGCCAGGCAGCGCCAGAUCCCACUUCUGGGCUAUGGCUACACUGAGCCACACCCGCCCGGCAGCCAGAGGAAGGUGGCAUUAGGCCCCGGCCCAGCUGGGUCUGGAAGUCUCCAUGGUCCAGGGGUGCGUGGCGUGGGGUGGGGGGCUCCCACCACUGGGUGCAGCCUGGCGGAGGCCCCAGGGGCCUGUGCUCUCCCCACCUGUGCUCGGGAUGAGGCAGCUGCUGCUGUGGGCUGCUUGCUGCACCCCGAGCCCAGGUGGGAGCAGGGCAUGGGCCUCUGCCUGGCUGUGCCCAGCAGCGGAGCCCCCCCCACGCCCCUGGACAGCCAGAUCUUCCCAGACCUGGCUGGGCCGGGGGCGCCCCCACUUAAGUCCCUGCUGCUGAGCUAAGCUGCACCCACAUGUCCCUGCUGUGAGUCCCUGCUGCUGAGAUGAGCAGGUGCAGAGGCAGCAGCUUCUGCCACCUCCACCCCUGCAGAGAUGGCCCCCCCAGGCUCCAAUCUUCCCACCACGCGGCCAGACUAGGACCCCACUUACCUUCCCCUGCUCCAGGCUGGGCUGCACAGUCAGCUGCCCACUAUGGGGGUCCUUGAUCUGGCUCCCGCCCCUUCCCUCCCCACACAGAUUGACCUGCUGGGUGGGGCUGGGGGCAGCAGGUGUGCAUAUGCACACAUGCCCAGCUGUCCCCCCAGCCCAGGAUCUACCAAAAGAGGCUCCAGGACCUACCUGUAGUUCAGGAUCCCCAGGUUGGUGACUACAGCUCUAACUCAAAUGCAGAGAAGAAAUGCCAGGUGGGAAGAAGGGAAAGUAGAUUUGACUUAGUAGUAGAGCUUAGUGAGGUGGGGAGGUACAGAAGGUGUGAUGGGGAAUGGUAAUAUUGGGAGUAGCCAAGGACACUCUGACUGGAGGUGGGGAGGGGAAGAGGAAAUCAGGGCUGGUUAGCAGUGAAACUGGGACUUGCAGCUAGUGGCUGGAAAGGGGGACUAUGAAACUGCAUGGGAAGCCAGGAGGAGGGAAGAGAAGUGGCUGGGUGAGGACAGGACACUGGGAGAAGAGGGGACAGAAAUCAAGAGGAUAAACUGGAACUUGGGCAAGGAGACUGGGAUGAGAAACUUGAAAGUUGGGACUGGGUUGUCAAAAAGAAUGAGGAUGUGAACCAGGAGCCAGAGGUUGGGCCCAGUGGAGGCACUACCAUGGCUACCCACACUGGAGGGGUGAAGGACCCAGCCACUGCCAGCCUGCAGCCCCUACUAAGCCUGUAGGCCUUCUUGCGAGGAAGAUGCACUCUGCAUCUCAGUGGGGAUUGCUAACAUUGUUUCUCCCCUGCAGCUGGUUGCCAGCCCAGAGGGAGAGGACUAGGCCCAGCAUAGACAUCACUAUGGCUGCCUCCAGCUGGAGGGGAGAAAGGCCCAGACAGCUUGCAGCCCCUACAAAGCCUACAAGCCUCCCUGGGUGCUCCUGAAGGCCCCGCUGGCAUUGCCCUUGUGUAACAACACAAGUAGAGACAGAGGGGGUUUUGGUAUUUCUUGUUGUAACUUUGUCAAGGGAAAGGGAAAGAUGAAUGGCUUUUAAGGACAGCUACAGCCCCCUGUGCAAGAGGGGAGUACAGACUUAGGGGUAGGCAGGGGUGGACUCCCCAGUAGGAGAAGGGGAAGAAAACUUCUGUCUUUGAUGGAGGUUGGGAAACACGGUUCAGCUGGGUAGGAGAAAGAUACUCCUAGGUGAAAGGUAGAGGAGCAGGAGUGGGUGAGGUAUAAUGACAUUUUUUAAUUUGGGAGAGUUAGUAUGUAACAAAACAAUCUUAUUUCAACAUUUUUGGGUUUUUUAAAGUUAUUUUGUCUUUUAUUAUAAGCUGCUCUGAGUCUUUUUUGGGGUGGAUGCUGUAUAAGUCUCAGACCAGCAGAGACUCCGUAUGCCUGAAAGCUUGCUAAGAACUUUUUCCAACUACUCAGUUUGUUUAAUAAAAUGUAUCACAUCUCCUCAAAGAACCUGGCCUGGCUAAAAUAGAACCAGUUGCUAAGAAAUUGUAGACUCUUUUUGCACCGUAGAGGAAGCUGGAUAAACAUCUCUCUGGGAUGCUUUAGGAACAGUGAAUACUGCAUACUUGCAGGGGGUUAGAUUAGAUGACCCAUGACAUCCCUUUCAACCUGACUCUAUGAUUAAAGAUAUAGAAAAUGAUAAAAUGUAACAAAGGUUUACUAAAAGCAAAUUGUGAGGGGCCAAUCUGAUCUCUUUACCUACUGAAUUUGAGGCAGCAGACAGCUGAUUUUGCCAGCAGAUGCCAGGGCUGGCUGCCAUUUUUUGCAGGCCAAGUGCAGCAGGCUUCCCCCCUCCCCAUGCCUUUGACUGGCUGAGGUGCCCUGGCAGUCCCACUUCUAGUAAAUUGCCAGAUGGACCAAAACCACAGCUUAAUUACCCUGAUUAAACCCAGAAAACCUAUUAAUCCAUGCAUUAAGUAGAUGAGGAGGGUAGAUGUUAGGAGGGGGAGGCAGGAACUGCUUGUGCAGCCUCCCCACUCUCCCUGUUCCCCCUCCCCUUCCCCCCCCCCAUCCCCUGCUCAAGACUUCAGGGCUUCCCACCUUUUUCUCUGCUUGCAGUUAUAGUUUGGUUUUGUUUUUUGCAGCAAGCCCACUGUUUUUCAUGGAGCCCACCCAUAUCCUUGCUUUCUGCGAAAACCAUGCAAUUGCAAAUUUGGUAGGUCCCUAUUUAUAGCAUUGUUAUAUUUCUUUUGUCUGUAACUGGGUUGUUCAGAUUCUGAGUGGCUGUGGGCCCCUGCGAGGAAAGCAGAAGCUGGAGGGGAGAGAAAGGAAGCCCAGAGACCUCAGUGGCAGCAGCAGGAGCACUGGGGGAAUAAUACUUGGGUGCAAGCCUGCAUUCUGUAACUUAAUACCUCAUGGGCCACCAGUUGGAUACCCUGGUUAAAAAAAAAUCAUUUCUCAUCUAUCUGGACUUCAGUAAUGCACAUUAUUAGUGAUACUAGAGAAGAUUAAUAUAAGAACUGUAAAGUGGGAAAUGAGCUGUUGAAACUGUCUAAAGCAACAUGUAUUGAGAUGGAGGGAGUUUACUCAUAAAGUAACUUCUGGUUGCUAAUAAAGUUCUUCUGGGACCAGACUUAUAAUUGAUAUUGUUUGAUAUUUUAUUAAUGACCUUGACACAAAGAGUAGGUAUGUACACAUUAUUUUUUCUGAUGAUGACAAGUUAGGAGGGACUGUCAAAUUGGAGGUGGGAGAAGGGGAGGAUCAGGGUAUUAUAAUACAAGAAGAAAUGGAUGACCUUGAAGACUGGAGCUAAUAGAGUCAUAAAGAAGGGCCAGAAGGGACCUCCAGAGGUCAUCUAGUCCAACCCCCUACCUGAGGCAGGAUCAUCCCUAUCCAUAUCCCUUAUGCCCUAUCCAUAAUCUAAACUACGUAAGACUACCUGCAACACUGACACAGCAUAAACCUAACACCUUAACAUGUUACAGGUAAAGCAGGGGAACCACAGCAGCCAAUGUCCUGCUACUAUAAAAUGUUGUCCAUGUAUGCUCCAGAGGUCCCAGGUAGAGGGCCACACCCCCCACUACUGAGGAAGACAAAACCCCCAUCGUCUGUACCAGUCUGAGCAUAAGGUCAUGGACUUCACAAGAAGGAAGAAGAGAAUUCCCCAGCACUCCCGCUACAUUAAAGGGGUGGAACAGCUUAAUAAAUGGGUGGCUUGUGCAAUUUG